RNAcentral lists this ribosomal RNA (253 nucleotides) under uncultured bacterium. RNAcentral describes it as "partial 16S ribosomal RNA". It matches the Rfam family "Bacterial small subunit ribosomal RNA", at positions 524 to 776 of the family's 1533-position model. The record is from RNAcentral.
UACGUAGGGGGCAAGCGUUGUCCGGAUUUAUUGGGCGUAAAGAGCGUGUAGGCGGCCAGGUAGGUCCGUUGUGAAAACUCGAGGCUUAACCUCGAGACGUCGAUGGAAACCAUCUGGCUAGAGUCCGGAAGAGGAGAGUGGAAUUCCUGGUGUAGCGGUGAAAUGCGUAGAUAUCAGGAGGAACACCGGUGGCGAAGGCGGCUUUCUGGACAGUAACUGACGCUGAGGCGCGAAAGCUAGGGGAGCAAACAGG